This 468-nucleotide ribosomal RNA is filed under the name uncultured bacterium. RNAcentral describes it as "partial 16S ribosomal RNA". It matches the Rfam family "Bacterial small subunit ribosomal RNA", at positions 28 to 507 of the family's 1533-position model. The record is from RNAcentral.
GACGAACGCUGGCGGCGUGCUUAACACAUGCAAGUCGAACGGAAAGGCCCUGCUUUUGUGGGGUGCUCGAGUGGCGAACGGGUGAGUAACACGUGAGUAACCUGCCCUUGACUUUGGGAUAACUUCAGGAAACUGGGGCUAAUACCGGAUAGGAGCUCCUGCUGCAUGGUGGGGGUUGGAAAGUUUCGGCGGUUGGGGAUGGACUCGCGGCUUAUCAGCUUGUUGGUGGGGUAGUGGCUUACCAAGGAUUUGACGGGUAGCCGGCCUGUGAGGGUGACCGGCCACAUUGGGACUGAGAUACGGCCCAGACUCCUACGGGAGGCAGCAGUGGGGAAUAUUGCACAAUGGGCGGAAGCCUGAUGCAGCAACGCCGCGUGCGGGAUGACGGCCUUCGGGUUGUAAACCGCUUUCGCCUGUGACGAAGCGUGAGUGACGGUAAUGAGUAAAGAAGCACCGGCUAACUACGUG